Molecule: ribosomal RNA, 701 nt
Filed under: uncultured bacterium
Lineage: Bacteria
Description: bacterial SSU rRNA
Rfam family: Bacterial small subunit ribosomal RNA
Source: RNAcentral
AGAGUUUGAUCCUGGCUCAGGAUGAACGCUGGCGGCGUGCCUUACACAUGCAAGUCGAGCGGAGAAGAUUUCCUGUGGCAACACAGGAGUCUUCUUAGCGGCAAACGGGUGAGUAAUGGAUGAGUAACCUGCCCUGUAGAUGGGGAUAGCCAUCCGAAAGGAUGGGUAAUACCCAAUAAUGUUGGAGGACUUCGGUUCUCCAAAGAAAGGUGGCGCAAGCUACCGCUUCAGGAUGGGCUCAUCUCCUAUCAGCUAGUUGGUGAGGUAAUGGCUCACCAAGGCUAUGACGGGUAGCUGGCCUGAGAGGGUGGUCAGCCACAUUGGGACUGAGACACGGCCCAGACUCCUACGGGAGGCAGCAGUGGGGAAUCUUGGUCAAUGGGCGAAAGCCUGAACCAGCGACGCCGCGUGGAGGACGAAGGCCGAAAGGUCGUAAACUCCUUUUGCAAGGGAAAAAGGGAAGGGUUCGAAUAGGACCCUAUCCUUGAUGGUACCUUGCGAAUAAGCCCCAGCCAACUACGUGCCAGCAGCUGCGGUAAAACGUAGGGGGCGAGCGUUAUCCGGAAUCACUGGGUGUAAAGGGUACGCAGGCGGAUCUGUAAGUUGGAUGUAAAAACUCAGGGCUCAACCUUGAGCUUGCAUCCAAGACUACCAAUCUAGAGAGCAGGAGAGGGGAGUGGAAUUCCCGGUGUAGGGGUAAA